This 205-nucleotide long non-coding RNA is filed under the name Mytilus galloprovincialis (Mediterranean mussel). The record is from RNAcentral. Lineage: Eukaryota; Metazoa; Mollusca; Bivalvia; Mytilida; Mytilidae.
UAGUGAUAUUGGACAUGUUUCUAUUUUUAACAAAUGACUGAACUUAAUUAUUUGUGGUGAUUAGGAAAGUAGAGGAACAUAGAAUAAAUGUGUAAAAACUAUGGAGCUAUUGAAUGUGUUCAAAGUAUUAAAUUUUCAAAGAACUUAUUGUGUUAAAAGGGGGAUAUUUUACCACAAGGAGCCGCAUCACAAAAGGAUGUUCGGG